AUCGAGUAAAUUGUCGACGAUAAC
This 24-nucleotide non-coding RNA is filed under the name Arabidopsis thaliana (thale cress). Lineage: Eukaryota; Viridiplantae; Streptophyta; Magnoliopsida; Brassicales; Brassicaceae. The record is from RNAcentral.